AUGGGCUGCGCUGGAUCCACGCCCAAAGUUGACGAGAGCAGUAAGAAUCUAAGGAAGCCUAAGCCUUGGAAGCACACUCAGCCAAUAACACCAGCGCAACUCAAACAGAUGCGUGAUGAAUUCUGGGACACAGCUCCACACUAUGGUGGACAGAAAGAGAUUUGGGACGCACUCAGGGCCGCUACAGACGCCGACUUAACUCUUGCGCAGACCAUAGUGGACAGUGCUGGAAUCAUCGUUUCGAAUCCAGACCUCACGCUUUGUUACGAUGAGAGAGGUGAGUCUGAGUUGCUGUUUUCUCUUUCACAAGUUUCGCUAUUUUGUUCAGCUGUCUUUUCUCUCGAAACUAAUUUCUGUGGGGACUGUAUGGAUGCAGGUGCAAAGUACGAGCUGCCCAAUUACGUUCUGAGUGAGCCAACAAACCUGAUCCGUGAUGGUUGA
RNAcentral lists this ribosomal RNA (441 nucleotides) under Triticum aestivum (bread wheat). RNAcentral describes it as "partial small subunit ribosomal RNA". Lineage: Eukaryota; Viridiplantae; Streptophyta; Magnoliopsida; Poales; Poaceae. The record is from RNAcentral.